CUUCAUUAUCUUUAGUAUAAAGAAGAUCUGAGGACAAUAGAACUGUUCUUCAAUAAUUCAUCCUCCUAAAAACAAUCAAAUAUUUCAAAAAUAAGAUAUUAGAAUCCAACUACUAAGGAUUUCCCUGCAGAAACACUUGAAAUAUUGAUCUAUUGUUAAGAAUUUCCCUUCAGAAUGACCUGAAAUAUUAGUCUAUUGCACGACUAAUAAUAUCUAUUGACUUCUGUAUAUGAUUAUUUUGGGGGUAAAAACAUGUCUAAACAAAAUUACAAGAAUGAAGCAAAAAGAAUCCUUAGGAUGCUGAUACUUAUGACCAGGGCAUCAUAGAGGGGCAGGCAAUCUCAGCAAAUAAAUCAAUGUCUUCUCAGUCAUAACCAUAGCCUUCAUCGUCGUCACCAACCUCCACCUCAGAAAAGUCAUAUCCACCCAUGACAGAGAGAAAGAGUAAAAUAGCUACCACCUGUGUUGCCAAGAAAUAUUUUGCCCUUCUUUUGAAAGUUUUCUCCUCUUCUGUCUUUUCCCUCUUGGGUUUUCUCUUAGGCUUUGAACUAGAAUUUGAAGGACUUCUUCUUGGAGUUGACGAUGAAGAAUCAGAGGGGAACCAUGGGACAGCAGAACAUGAUGAACCAGCAUCCAAGAAAUCAGUCUUAUGUUUCUCAGCAUAUCUUAUGAGAUUACCAUGCUCUAAAAGUGAACUUUGAAGAACCGAUGCUUCAGGUAAUGCUUGAAGAGUGAAAAGAAGAUGCCCAAGGAAUAAUGCAUCCAAACUUGAUGGCCUGUCCUCAAAGAGAAACUCCUGUUCACCCAAUCUGGUUGACAAAGCUCCAUAUGCAAUUUUCACUCUCUUGUAAAUCUCUUCUUCCCUUCGUUCUGCAUUUUCUUUUGUUAUCCCAAGUUGCUGCUUAACAGUAUAUGCUUGCUUGACAAAUAAGACCUUUCCUAUUAACCAAGGAAGGUCAGAAUAAUAAAUCUUGAAAGCAGAACUUCCAUCAGAUCCCAACCAGAGCUCAUACAUGACUGCAUCUACAAGCCAGGAGCUAAUCAUUGCUUUCAUUGAUAUCCAUUCUGGGAUUGAGCAGAAUUCAGUGUCCAAAUUAACAAUACCAUCUUCCUUUAAACGUUGAAUAACUCCACCACUCUCAUUAUUAUAGGCCACAUAUGCACCAGAUUCAACGUAAGGAAUUUGAUCUGAAUCUGGAUAAGUGGAAUUGAAAUCCAGGCGAAAGGGAAGCCUAGCUAACUUGAGAUAGAUGUAGACAGGCAAGCAAAUUGGGCAAGCAGUUGGGAGUCCAAAACAGGGUUUUCUAGCGACAAGAGUACACUCUUCUCUUUCAUGAGAUUCUUCCAUUUGCUAUCCCUCUUGAUUUUCUUUUCUUUUUUCCUUUGAAAAAGGAAAAACUUUAAAUCUACGGCAAGAGCUGUGGUUGUUGAUUCUUGGCGGUUCUUUGAGAGAGAAUGAUGGGUAGCGACGGUCACAGAGAACAAAAUAGUGAGCAGUUAGAGAGAGCCGUGAGGGGAGAGAAGACGAACUAGAAAACGAUCGCCCUGGUAGUCCGGCAGUUCAACGCCGUCAACAGUAGCUCGGGAGGGGAAUAGAGAGCGUACACUGAUAGAGGAGAGAAUGGGUUUUGUC
This 1633-nucleotide unclassified non-coding RNA is filed under the name Hevea brasiliensis (rubber tree). Lineage: Eukaryota; Viridiplantae; Streptophyta; Magnoliopsida; Malpighiales; Euphorbiaceae. The record is from RNAcentral.